GAUGAACGCUGGCGGCGUGCUUAACACAUGCAAGUCGAACGAUGAAGCCCAGCUUGCUGGGUGGAUUAGUGGCGAACGGGUGAGUAACACGUGAGUAACCUGCCCUUAACUCUGGGAUAAGCCUGGGAAACUGGGUCUAAUACCGGAUAGGAGCGUCCACCGCAUGGUGGGUGUUGGAGAGAUUUAUCGGUUUUGGAUGGACUCGCGGCCUAUCAGCUUGUUGGUGAGGUAAUGGCUCACCAAGGCGACGACGGGUAGCCGGCCUGAGAGGGUGACCGACCACACUGGGACUGAGACACGGCCCAGAAGCCUACGGGAGGCAGCAGUGGGGAAUAUUGCACAAUGGGCGCAAGCCUGAUGCAGCGACGCCGCGUGAGGGAUGACGGCCUUCGGGUUGUAAACCUCUUUCAGUAGGGAAGAAGCGAAAGUGACGGUACCUGCAGAAGAAGCACCGGCUAACUACGUG
Molecule: ribosomal RNA, 466 nt
Filed under: uncultured bacterium
Lineage: Bacteria
Description: partial 16S ribosomal RNA
Rfam family: Bacterial small subunit ribosomal RNA
Source: RNAcentral